AUGGACCCGGGGCCCUCGUCUGCCAGCGCUGACCCGUCCCCGCCAGAGGAGGAGGAGGAAGAGGAGGAGGAGGAGGAGCGCGACAGCAGCACCGGCAGCACGUGGGUGUUCGUGCCGGGGAGCGAGGUACUGGGUGCCGACGCCCCCAAGGUCGUCGGCUGGGAGGAGCUUCAGCAGGAGCUCGCGCGCCUCUGGAGCCUGUCCGCCGCGCUCGCCGCCGCCAGGGACCGCAAGGCCGGCCUCGCCGCGCGCCUCGAGUCCGCGCUCGAGGCAAGAAAGGCAGUUCUUCAGCAGGAUAAUGAGUUGGCUGAGAUGAGGCAGAGAUUGCAAUCUCAUGCUGAUUUUAUGGGGGAAUUGAGGAUGCAAACGAAGGAAGUGUCUGCGAAUGUUGAUGAUUGGAGGGAGCAACUUUGUGUCAAGAUCAGAACGCUGACAGUAGCAGACAAAACUGUUGGCGCAGCACAAAGUAAAUUACAGGAACCUUGUAAAUUGCUGUCUGGGGAACAUGGCCAUGGUCGUCUUAAAGGUCUGGAACGAAUGUUACGGAUGAGACAACAAUACAUGAUAGGACAAGUUGCUCAGAUAUACCCUGUGAGGCCCUUGAAUGAGCAAUCUCCAAUUGUAAAGCCUGGAUUAAACUCUAGUAUCACUAGAACAGGAGUUAGUGAAGCAGUGUCGCCCAAUGGUUACCAAAACGGACAGGCACCUUUGGCCAUUUUGGGUCUACAGUUAUCAAAGCUUUCUAUAAAAAAGACCAGCUACUUCAGUGACAAGACAGAGAUUCAAAAGUCUGCUACUCUUCUUGGAUAUGUUGCACAUGCGGUCUCCCUUAUUGCAUCAUAUCUCGAUGUUCCUCUUCGAUAUCCACUACGGUUGGGAGGUUCACAUUCGUAUAUUGUUGAUCAUGCACCUUCAGUUGACCCAUCUAUAGCCCCAGGAGUAAGUUCUUCUACCCCUUCGAGCACGAGCAUGAGGACAAUGGAAUUUCCUCUGUUUUUUGAAGGCCAAGAAACAACAAGAUCGGCAUAUGCUGUAUUCUUGUUAAACAAGGAUGUCGAACAACUUCUGAACCACAUUGGCGCUGAAAGUCUUGGCCCAAGACAUGUACUAGCUAACCUGAAGCAGCUAACAACCAUUGUCCAGUCACAACAAUACAUUUCUGAUUGA
Molecule: ribosomal RNA, 1167 nt
Filed under: Triticum aestivum (bread wheat)
Lineage: Eukaryota; Viridiplantae; Streptophyta; Magnoliopsida; Poales; Poaceae
Description: partial small subunit ribosomal RNA
Source: RNAcentral